CCUACGGGGGGCAGCAGUGAGGAAUAUUGGUCAAUGGACGCAAGUCUGAACCAGCCAUGCCGCGUGCAGGAAGACGGCUCUAUGGGUUGUAAACUUCUUUUAUAUGGGAAUAAAAUGUUCCACGUGUGGGAUUUUGUAUGUACCAUAUGAAUAAGGAUCGGCUAACUCCGUGCCAGCAGCCGCGGUAAUACGGAGGAUCCGAGCGUUAUCCGGAUUUAUUGGGUUUAAAGGGAGCGUAGGUGGAUUGUUAAGUCAGUUGUGAAAGUUUGCGGCUCAACCGUAAAAUUGCAGUUGAAACUGGCAGUCUUGAGUGCACACAGGGAUGCCGGAAUUCAUGGUGUAGCGGUGAAAUGCUUAGAUAUCAUGAAGAACUCCGAUCGCGAAGGCAAGUGUCCGGGGUGCAACUGAUGCUGAGGCUCGAAAGUGCGGGUAUCAAACAGGAUUAGAUACCCCUGUAGUC
RNAcentral lists this ribosomal RNA (460 nucleotides) under uncultured bacterium. Its description in RNAcentral is "partial 16S ribosomal RNA". It matches the Rfam family "Bacterial small subunit ribosomal RNA", at positions 338 to 795 of the family's 1533-position model. The record is from RNAcentral.